GUGAAGUCUACCUGCAAUUAGAGUCAGGGGUGAAGUCCGGCUCCCAUAGUAUUCCGGAUGAAGUUUACCAGCAAUCGGGGUCGAGGACGGAGCCCGGCUCCCGUAGGAGUCCGGGUGAAGCCUUUUUGCAGUCGAAGUUGGAGACGAGAUCCGGCUCCCGUAGGAGCUCGGACAAAGUCUACCUGCAAUCACAGUCAGGGGUGAAGUCUGGCUCCCUUGGGAGUCUGGACGAAGUUUACCAGCAG
This 245-nucleotide long non-coding RNA is filed under the name Elaeis guineensis (African oil palm). RNAcentral's name for it is "long non-coding RNA (EGUI_LNC072029)". Lineage: Eukaryota; Viridiplantae; Streptophyta; Magnoliopsida; Arecales; Arecaceae. The record is from RNAcentral.